This 849-nucleotide non-coding RNA is filed under the name Phyllonastes lochites (Ecuador leaf frog). RNAcentral's name for it is "Noblella lochites (Ecuador leaf frog) partial 12S ribosomal RNA". It matches the Rfam family "Bacterial small subunit ribosomal RNA". Lineage: Eukaryota; Metazoa; Chordata; Amphibia; Anura; Craugastoridae. The record is from RNAcentral.
ACGCCCUUUACCUCCUCCUCGAAGGUAAAUAGGGCAGGUAUCAGGCACACCUCGCCCAUAACACCUAGCCACGCCACCCCCACAAGGGCCCUCAGCAGUGACCAAUAUUGUUUAUAAACGCAAGUUUGACCCAGUUAGAGAAUAAAGAGCUGGCAAAGCUGGUGCCAGCCGCCGCGGUUACACCAUAUAGCUCAAAUUGAUUUUCACCGGCGUAAAGCGUGAUUAAAGACCCCCCCCCCGACUAGGGUACAACUCAGACCCCAACGUAAAAACCCCGUCUGUAAGAAUCCCCAAAACGAAAGUUACCCUACAACACUUGAAUUCACGACAGUUAGAACACAAACUGGGAUUAGAUACCCCACUAUGCUAACCGUAAACCUUACUACUCCUUCCCCGCCAGGGAACUACGAGCAAAGCUUAAAACCCAAAGGACUUGACGGUGCCCCACAUCCCCCUAGAGGAGCCUGUCCAUAACUGAUGAUCCCCACUAAACCUCACCAUUUUUAGCUAAUCAGCCUGUAUACUUCCGUCCCCGGCCUACCACGUGAGCGACAAUAAGUAGGCCCAACGUCUUACAAAAUACGUCAGGUCGAAGUGCAGCUAAUAAAAUGGGAAAGAUGGGCUACACUCUCUGAAACAGAGAAUACGAAAGACAAUAAUGAAACUUAUGUCAGAAGGUGGAUUUAGUAGUAAAAGGAAAAUAGAGUGUCCCUUUUAACUUAGCACUGGGGCGUGUACACACCGCCCGUCACCCUCUUCGAACCGCAACUAAAAGUUUUUAACACCAAUGCACAUAUGAGAAGAGGCAAGUCGUAACAUGGUAAGUGUACCGGAAGGUGCACUUGGAAU